UGGUCUGCCAGAAUGGAGGCUACUACGACGAUAUCAAGUGCGUCUGCCCCUCUGACUUCUACGGCCCCUUGUGCGAGUUCUUCAGCGACUCCAUCACCACCGAGAUCCGUAAGUACGGCCUCCCCCCAUCCCACGGCCUCCACGCUCCUUGACCUCCCCCCUGGCCAACGGCCUCUGCCUGGCCUCGGCCCCCCAUGCUCACCCUCCUCCUGCCUCCCGCAGCCAUUGAGGGGACGAUUGUGGCCAAUGUGGAGCUGGUGGUGACUGUCACCAACGUCAUCUACACGGAGGAGCUGCAGGACCCCCGCUCGGAGGCCUAUGAGAACUUUGAGAAGCAAUUCCGGCAGGAGGUGAGGCCUGGGAGCACAAGGGGAGACUGGGCCCUGCGAGGGAAGGCUGGGAACCCGAGGGGAGGCUGGGAGCUCAAGGGGAGACCAGGGUGUGCAAGGGGAGUUUGGGAGCACAACAGGAGACCGGGAGCGAGAGGGGAGGCCGGGAGCGAGAGGGGAGGCCGGGAGUGAGAGGGGAGGCUGGGAGUGAGAGGGGAGGCCGGGCCCCGUGAGGGGAGGCCGGGCCGCACCGGACCCAUCCUCAUGGCGCCCCUUGCCCUGGCAGAUGGCCAAGAUCUACAGCUCCGUGCCCGGCUACGAGGGCGUGAAGAUCCUCCGCAUUGUGCCGGUGGCCUCCAGCAGGCGGGGAGCCCGGGUGCGCAGGGCCGGGGGAGACUCCAUGUCCUCCCCCGUGGGCACUGGCCUCAAUGUGGACCACGAGGUCAUCUUCAGAACCACCGCCAGCCCCAACCUGACCGAGGAGUUCCAGAACAAGACACAGGAGCUGGUGCAGAAGCUUCAGGAGACUGCCGACAGCCAGGGCGACUGCGAGAAUGACUCCUCCAUCGUCUGCUUCAAGGUGCCACCCAGUCCCAUCAUCAAGAACAUGACGAAGUCCCCUUCAUUUGACGCACUGUGCCAGCAGCGGGCGCCCGUCGGCUACCAGGACUACUACUACGCGCAGAACAUGAGCAACAUCAUCCGCUGCGUCACCAACUGCACGGCCAACACGCCCGGCACCAUCGACUGCCACCAUGGCGAGUGCCGCAUCACCCGCGCUGGGCCACAGUGCUUGUGAGUGCCACCACGUGUCCCUCUGUGCCCACCCCCCGGCACCCUGGGAGCACCGGCCUGACCUUUCCUUGUCCUUGCAGCUGCCGGGAUGAAUCGCUCUACUGGUACACGGGCACCCGGUGCUCUGGGCGUGUCAGCAAGGUGGCCACCGGGUUGGGGGUGGUGGUCACGGUGCUGCUCGUCACCUGCAUCACCCUUGCUGUGCUGCUGGUGAUACGGAAGAAGGGCAGGAAGAGGUAGAGGGGCAGGGAUGGUUGGGGCAGAUUGGAUUGGGUUGGUUGGGUUGGGCUGAGGUGAGUAGGUUGGGGUGGUUUGGUUUGGAUGGGUUGGGUUGGUUAGGUUGGGUUUAGUAGGGUUGGGUUUAGUGGGGUUGGAUGGUUUGGGGUCUUUUGGGUUGGUUGGGGUGGUUGGGUUGGAUGGGAUGGGAUGGGUUGGGUUGGGUUUAAUUGGGUUGGCUGGUUUGGGGUCUUCUGGGUUGGUUGGGUUGGGUUUAGUUGGGUUGGAUGGUCUGGGGUCUCUUUUGCUGGAUGGUUGAUGAUGGACUCACGGGCUGGUGGCAGAUACCUGGGCUUGGUUGGGGUAUAAAACGGGGUUGUUGGCGGACAGCUGGGCAGGCUUGGGGGGUGGGACAGCCCCCUCCUCUGUCCUUCUGCCCCCUCUGAGCCCCCUGGUGCUGCCCCCCAGGAACACUUCGGCCACUGUUGAGGAGAACUGGUAUGAGAACGAAGGCGGCACCUGGACGGCAUCUGAUGGCUUCGUCCUAAGCAACAGCAACGCCACCGACCCAGGUCGGGAGGGCUCCGGGGGGCAGGACUGGAGGGGGCGGUGGGACCACAGCUGCUCCCCCAGCCCCACCGCUCACCCUAUCGCCCCCCACCCAUGUCCCCAACAGGCGGCAGCCUACGGAGCUUCACGGUCUCGCUGGAACGGGUCAACACUGACAUCCCACUGGGUGCCUCCAAGACGAGUCCCCCCCCGGACCCACCCUCCACCCCUCAGUCCCC
Molecule: long non-coding RNA, 2128 nt
Organism: Anser cygnoides (Swan goose)
Lineage: Eukaryota; Metazoa; Chordata; Aves; Anseriformes; Anatidae
Source: Ensembl